This 68-nucleotide transfer RNA is filed under the name Pattonomys semivillosus (Speckled spiny tree-rat). RNAcentral's name for it is "tRNA-Ile". It matches the Rfam family "tRNA". Rfam says of the family: Transfer RNA (tRNA) molecules are approximately 80 nucleotides in length. Their secondary structure includes four short double-helical elements and three loops (D, anti-codon, and T loops). Further hydrogen bonds mediate the characteristic L-shaped molecular structure. tRNAs have two regions of fundamental functional importance: the anti-codon, which is responsible for specific mRNA codon recognition, and the 3' end, to which the tRNAs corresponding amino acid is attached (by aminoacyl-tRNA synthetases). tRNAs cope with the degeneracy of the genetic code in two manners: having more than one tRNA (with a specific anti-codon) for a particular amino acid; and 'wobble' base-pairing, i.e. permitting non-standard base-pairing at the 3rd anti-codon position. Lineage: Eukaryota; Metazoa; Chordata; Mammalia; Rodentia; Echimyidae. The record is from RNAcentral. RNAcentral also lists the same sequence under 1 other name.
AGAAAUGUGUCUGAAAAAGAGUUACUUUGAUAGAGUAAAUUAUAGAGGUUUAAAUCCUCUUAUUUCUA